CAGCCCCGAUUACUCACUCAGUGCUGGGAGGAGGAGGAGGAGGCGGCGGAGGAGGGGAUUUCAGAGCCAUUCAAUCACUCUCUAGCAGCCAUCUUCACUUCUCUUUUUCUCAUCACUUCAUCCUUAGCAUUAGUGUAGAGUCUCCAGCUUCUCUCCCAUCCAGAUUGCAGGCAAAGCCCGUGCCAGUCCCAGCGGUAGCUUGGCUCUGCCUAUCUGGGAAGUAGCCGGGGGCUGCGGUUUUCAGCGCGUUGCACUGAUUGCACUGAGACGGGGGUACCACAGUGAAUCCCACGCACAUCCAUCUCUGCUGGGCUGCACAAAGCGGAUCUGCGAGAAGCGAUCUGGUGUUUCAUCAGCUCGGGAAGACCUCAAGUGCAUUUUCCCCAAUGUUGGGAAAUGCAAACUGAAUUCUGAGACUCUGCAUGUCCACCUGAAGGCAUUUACAUGUGAGAUUUGCACAUCUGUUGGAUUAAGGGCUCUGCUUGGAAGAACUCAACCAUUUGGGGGUCUGGGUGGCUUUGUUAUCCCCACCUCUCUGUGGCUUUAGGACUAACAAAAAUGAGUGAAUUCUGGUUGUGUUUCAACUGCUGCAUCGCAGAACAACCACAGCCUAAAAGACGAAGGCGGAUUGACAGAAGUAUGAUUGGUGAACCCACAAACUUUGUUCACACAGCACAUGUAGGAUCAGGAGACCUUUUUAGUGGAAUGAACUCAGUGAGUUCAAUUCAAAACCAAAUGCAGUCCAAAGGUGGCUACAGUGGAAAUAUGCCUGCGAAUGUUCAGAUGCAGCUUGUGGAUACGAAGGCAGGAUAACCAUGGCACUACAUCUGCAGUAAGUUAAACUGUAGUGUAGCAAGAGCUGCCACAACAGAGAGCCUUUCUAGAUGGUUCGUAACUUCGCCUGCCUUUUGUCCCUCUCCACCUUCAUGUUUGCGUUGGUGACUCUGCUUCUGUGUGUUCCAUCUCCUGCCAGAUGAUUCGUUGUUCCCCUCGUGUGAUGACAGAUAGGAAAAGAUGCUGGCCUGUGCUGAGGAUGUAGCUUAUCAGUUCUGCUGGACCAUGCCUUUUCACUUGAACGCAGGGCUCUGGUCUUUGCCAAAACCUCUUACUCCCCUUCUAUAAAAGUAGUAUUUUAAAAUAACCUUAUUUUUCAAGCACAGCUUUUUUAAAAUAUUUUUUCUGUUUUGCUUUUUUUAUUUUUUAGCAAAGCUUACGCUCCUAACAUAUUUCAUUGCUUACUUGAUUUUGGAAAGGCCUGAGGCCUGCAAGCACAAUGCUAAUUGCAAUACGGACUGCAGUGAAAUAGAAGCCGUGCAUGCUUUGUAAAGUUCUUCUGUACAGCGGCUCACCAGGCCUUGGAAAGCUACACUGACAAAUGCUUUCUUGGUGCCACCAACCUGUGCCCAGUCUAUUACAGGAAGGAAACGAAAAAGACUUAUUUUAUCCUAGCUGCUUUACCGUUCUGUCAGUUUAGUGAUACCCAAGUAGGUUUUGAAGAGGGUAAUAAUGAAAUAAUAAUGAUAAUAAUAAAAAAAAAAGAAUCUUCCAUUCAUAGGAAUUCUGCUGUAAAUGUUCCGUAUAUUUAUUUGAAAGAUCUGACCUCAAGAUUGUAAACCCGUGUAGUAACCUAUAAUGUGUCGUGUUGGUGCUUUCGUCUGUAAGAAAACAAAUAGAACCCCCCCCCCAUUGCCGCUUCGUCAGCCGUUCCAUGCCAAUGGCAGCAUGUCACUGUGCCUGCAAUGUCCCAGUUUUCAUGUUUUCUGCAGGUUCUGUCCCAUUCCCUAAAGUCCAUUAUUGAAGUGCAGUGUGCGGCGAUCUGGAUGCCUGUGUUACCAGAAUAGGAAUCGACAAACUGGCUUAACAUACAGGGUGACUUUUGAUAAAAAGUCUUUUGCUCAGGUUCCAAAGCAUGUAUUUCUUUUCACACGUUGUGAAAAAAUGUUUCUUUUAAUAUUGCACUGUUCCUCGGAUGUACAUGUUAUUGAUCCUGUAUUAAUUUCCUGUUAGGGGCUUGGUUGUAUUGAAUAUGUGAGGUUUAUCUGUAAGUCCGGUUGAAUGCUUGUCUGAAAAGAUAUUUCGCCAAAUGUACUAUUAUAUCUAUCAGCCUAUACCUUACCCACAACUCCAGCCAUGUGCUGAAAGCAAAGCUAAAAGAACAAUUCAUCAAUACAAUGCCAGAGGGAUCCUCGGCACAUCUGUUGCAGUCAAAUGGUUAAUUGAAAAUAAAAUAAAAAUCAGAAUGUAUAUUUAGAAUCUAUUGCCAAGCAAAACUCUAGAUCACAUUUUAAGAAAUCAUUUACAUACAGCAAAUACUAUAAGGCAAAAAGCAUGGCCCCCACCUGUGUGGCACUUGUGACUGUUGUGUUUCCAUUGAUCACAUUACAGUAAGGCGUCUUCUUACCCUAAAGAAAUGCAGCUUCCAAUCAAAGAUUGCCAGGGCUUUUCGAAAGUUGUAGUUUAGCUACAGUUGGAAAGUCACAAUCUGCUGAUUGUACUCUUAUACAAAAGUUUAUCACCCUUUUAAAGGAGAACUAAAGCUUAACUAAAGAAGUAGGCUAGAAAUGUUGUACAUUUUGUUUUGGGCUUCUGUACCAGCCCAGGGCAACCACAGCCCUUUAGCAGGGAAGAUCUGUGUCUCCAAAGAUGUCCCAGUAGCUCCCCAUCUUCUUUUUCUGCUGGUUCACUGCACAUGCUCUGUGCUGCUGUCACUUAUUGAGCUUAGGGACCCACUCACAAUAUACAGUACACAUAGGGUUGCCACCCGCCGGUAAAACACCUGCCAAGGCCGGGCCAGUAUUACAAAUUUACCGGCAAUCCAGUUGCCGGUAAUUUAUAAUACCCUUUAAAAAAAAGCCCGCGGCCUGCCCCCAGUUGCGCAGAACUUAACUUUUUUGUAGUGUUCUUGACAUUGCCGCGAUGUGGCUCCGCCGCAUUUUGCGUCACUCUGCGUAGCCCCGCCCCUUUUGCAUCGUGGACUGCCUCCUUUUUGUACCCGCCCCCCACCGGCCAGUUAUUUUUUUUCAGUAAAGGUGGCAACCCUAAGUACACAUAGAAUAUAAAGGUCACAGUAUAAGGGUGAUUAGUAAUUAAUAUGGAUAAAAAAGACAUGACAGCACAGAAACCAGUGCAACUAGCAUCAGAAUUAAAUAAUCAGCCCUGUAGCAUCAGCUUAUAUUAUAGAGAACCCUCAUUUUCUGCUUGAUAAUUUAUGGUGACCCCUAAACGUAGCUUCCCAACUGCUGCUCGGAGCCCACUGAGCAUGACACUUUCCAAGAUGGUGACCCCCUGUGACAAGGAUGAAGUACUGGAUCAUUGCUGCUAUUGACAAGCUGAAACUUUAAGCUAGUGCAAUAAGUUCAGUAUAUAAAAUAUGGCAUUUUUAGCCAUAUUCAUUUUUAGGGUUUAGUUCUCCUCUAAAAAUGACCUCUUACACAUAGAUUCAUUAUGUAGCUUUAGGCACUGCCUCAUGCUUGUCUCUUAGGAUGGAUUUCCAUAGAUGGUUUUAGCAACAUCAUCAGCUGUAUGUUUACCACUACUUGGUAAUUUGAUUGCAGGUUGGAGACAAUAAGAUCAUUUACAAAACAUGUAACGGGUGCCAAAAUGGAUGCUAAUCACCAUGUUUUGUACUCACAGUGCAGUGUUUUCUCAAAAUUCCAGAGGCAAGCUUUAUGAAAAAUACUGUCAGGCUUGUGUAAAUCUUUGCAGUUCAUAAAUGUCUGCUAUUCUGUAAUAAAUACAGAAACAGCUAUUCCUUGCAUACAAUUUACUAUGCACCCAAACUUAUGUCAGGGAUAGAAAGCAGUCGAUAAACCCAUCUAGUAAACAGAGUGUAUAUUCCAUCAGGGGGUGAUUAACAAGUGAAAUCCAACAGCCUGAAGAAAAUCCUAGUAUUGUAAGACAGAAUGAGGGUAUGUACUGUUUUUUUUCCAUAAAAAACACUUUAGCCAAGUGUGCUAGGACUAUUUGCAAUACUUUCGUCAUCUGAAACCCAGUCUGUACGAAGAGCAGGUUUAUCAAAAAAUAUUUUCAGAUUCUUUGAUCAAGAGUAAAAAAAAUAAAAGAAAUAAUUUACAUAUUUUUAUAACAAAACAUACUUUUUGUACAUUGUGUUCAUUCUCGAAUGAAGUCGGUUCAGUGUUGGCUUGUAGAUAUUACAGAGGAGUAUUGACAUUGAUUCAAUAAACAUUUUCUUUCA
Xenopus laevis (African clawed frog) is the source of this 4195-nucleotide RNA transcript. It is a transcript of the gene named CDC42 small effector 2 like L homeolog, with no coding region annotated. The transcript is spliced from 5 exons. The record is from RefSeq and is a predicted model, not a curated record. NCBI's taxonomy places the organism in Eukaryota, Metazoa, Chordata, Amphibia, Anura, Pipidae.